RNAcentral lists this ribosomal RNA (301 nucleotides) under uncultured bacterium. RNAcentral describes it as "partial 16S ribosomal RNA". It matches the Rfam family "Bacterial small subunit ribosomal RNA", at positions 509 to 808 of the family's 1533-position model. The record is from RNAcentral.
CAGUAGCCGCGGGAAUACGUAGGUGGCAAGCGUUGUCCGGAAUUAUUGGGCGUAAAGGGCUCGCAGGCGGUUUCUAAGUCUGAUGUGAAAGCCCCCGGCUCAACCGGGGAGGGUCAUUGGAAACUGGGAAACUUGAGUGCAGAAGAGGAGAGUGGAAUUCCACGUGUAGCGGUGAAAUGCGUAGAGAUGUGGAGGAACACCAGUGGCGAAGGCGACUCUCUGGUCUGUAACUGACGCUGAGGAGCGAAAGCGUGGGGAGCGAACAGGAUUAGAUACCCCCGUAGUCCCUGUCUCUUAUACA